This 775-nucleotide long non-coding RNA is filed under the name Heterocephalus glaber (naked mole-rat). RNAcentral's name for it is "lncRNA (ENSHGLG00000047459.1)". The record is from RNAcentral. Lineage: Eukaryota; Metazoa; Chordata; Mammalia; Rodentia; Bathyergidae.
GCCCUGCUCUAGGUUCUUGACAUGCAGCAUUCAUGUACCUAUGUAGAGAGACAUGCAUACGUGGAUGUAGAGGAAUGUGUGUUUUACUCAUUUUUACUGAGCACCUUCGCUACGCUCACGCCUUGCACUAAGUGCUAAAGAGCUAAGGAAAGGGUGAGACCAAUAUGUGCCCAGCUCUGGCCCUCUGGAGCCCCCCAGGAGGUAGGGAACCUUGGCCAACCUCACCCUAAGGACUACUGAAUUAUUCUUCCCCAAGCAUCAAGGAAGAAAAGCACAGCAGGGGGAAAACCCAGCAGGGAGCUUGAUCCACUGUCACCGCAGUGCUCCAGGAGGACGCUGGGACUUUGGAUUCAGAGAUGGAGUUGAGAACCCAGAAAGCCUGCAGUUUGUCAGCAACCCCUUAAAUUACAACCCUAAGCCUGAUCUGUCCUGCUGCCUGCUUUGAUGAAGAAGAAGAAGAGGAGGAAGAGGAGGAGGACAAGGAGUAGGAGGAGGACAAGGAGGAGGAGGAGAAGAAGGAAGAAGAAGGAGAAGAAAUAGAAGAAGAAAUAGAAGAAGAAGAAGAAGAAGAAGAAGAAGAAGAAGAAGAAGAAGAAGAAGAAGAAGAAGAAGAAGAAGAAAAGGCUAUUCCUACGGGGUUGGUGUGGCUAGCUUGAACUUGUAAUUGAAUACACACCAAGUCAGGGCGAGAUUAAAUGAGGAAAUGGAUUUUCUUCUGCAUGAAGGGACCGGGUCAUGUUCUAAAAAUCUGGCUCUUUCAACAUCUUCACAUAAU